Molecule: long non-coding RNA, 697 nt
Organism: Stomoxys calcitrans (stable fly)
Lineage: Eukaryota; Metazoa; Arthropoda; Insecta; Diptera; Muscidae
Exons: 2
Source: RefSeq, a predicted model, not a curated record
UCUGUGAAAAAAAACCUUUGAACAAACAUUACCAAUAAAUAUUAUUUUCUUCGUAAAACGGCCUCAAAUUACAUUAGGUUAUGGGUUCCACGGAUAAAACUGUGGAACAUACAAUACAUUGAUAGGACGGAAGUUUCAUUACACGUACUAAAAAAAGAACUAUAUAUAAAUAUUUAGAAUUUAAACACAUGAACAUACAAUCGAAUUGGCGAAUUUUUUAAACAUAAACAAAAAAAAAGUAAAAAAUUGAAUGCUGAAGGACAUACAGCAAAUGUUUUUAAAUUUUGCGGUAAGGAAUUCCACAGCCGUGAAACCUGAUUAUGAUAAAAUCUAUUGUAACGUUCGAUAAGCAUGUGGGAGUUUCUGCUACUAGUUAGAAAGUUGAUAGUGUUAAACCAAUAACAGGGCUGUCCAUAUUUAAUAAUGCAGAAGAGAUAAUAUAGACACCUAACGCUUAUGUAAUGAUCGAAUGAGCGUCCGAGAAAUUCAAUGGUGAAACGUUGGCAAUCGCUGCGGCAGUGAUUACCAUAGACGUAACGUAAAAUCCUAUGAAAACAGGAUAAGAGCUUACUAUGAAAACAGGAUAAGAGCUUACUCCUGAAUAAAUUUCUAAGCCGUAUAAAAUAUGUGUUAUUUUAAGAGAAUGCACUUAUAAACUUGUAAUAUGCACUGGAAGAAAUAAAUUUAUAUUAUUCAA